RNAcentral lists this transfer RNA (76 nucleotides) under Candidatus Peregrinibacteria bacterium. Its description in RNAcentral is "tRNA-Ile". It matches the Rfam family "tRNA". From Rfam's summary of the family: Transfer RNA (tRNA) molecules are approximately 80 nucleotides in length. Their secondary structure includes four short double-helical elements and three loops (D, anti-codon, and T loops). Further hydrogen bonds mediate the characteristic L-shaped molecular structure. tRNAs have two regions of fundamental functional importance: the anti-codon, which is responsible for specific mRNA codon recognition, and the 3' end, to which the tRNAs corresponding amino acid is attached (by aminoacyl-tRNA synthetases). tRNAs cope with the degeneracy of the genetic code in two manners: having more than one tRNA (with a specific anti-codon) for a particular amino acid; and 'wobble' base-pairing, i.e. permitting non-standard base-pairing at the 3rd anti-codon position. Lineage: Bacteria; Candidatus Peregrinibacteriota. The record is from RNAcentral.
GGGCCUGUAGCUCAGGGGUUAGAGCAGUCGGCUCAUAACCGAUUGGUCGAAGGUUCAAAUCCUUCCAGGCCCACCA